This 466-nucleotide ribosomal RNA is filed under the name uncultured bacterium. RNAcentral describes it as "bacterial SSU rRNA". It matches the Rfam family "Bacterial small subunit ribosomal RNA", at positions 9 to 521 of the family's 1533-position model. The record is from RNAcentral.
GAGUUUGAUCGUGGCUCAGAGCGAACGCUGGCGGCAGGCUUAACACAUGCAAGUCGAACGGGCACUUCGGUGUCAGUGGCAGACGGGUGAGUAACGCGUGGGAACAUACCUCUUGGUUCGGAACAACACAGGGAAACUUGUGCUAAUACCGGAUAAGCCCUUACGGGGAAAGAUUUAUCGCCGAGAGAUUGGCCCGCGUCUGAUUAGCUAGUUGGUGUGGUAAAGGCGCACCAAGGCGACGAUCAGUAGCUGGUCUGAGAGGAUGAUCAGCCACAUUGGGACUGAGACACGGCCCAAACUCCUACGGGAGGCAGCAGUGGGGAAUAUUGGACAAUGGGCGCAAGCCUGAUCCAGCCAUGCCGCGUGAGUGAUGAAGGCCUUAGGGUUGUAAAGCUCUUUUGUACGGGAAGAUAAUGACGGUACCGUAAGAAUAAGCCCCGGCUAACUUCGUGCCAGCAGCCGCAGU